GUUAUAGUUUGUCAGUUCUCAAAGUAGGCCUAUCAUUGUGUUAAAUCAUGUAUGUGUUUGUUCUUCGCCAGGGUGCUCAUUAAAACCAACUACUUUUGGAUUUUCGUCUGGCACCCUUCAUUUGUAGACACGCAUGUGUUACAGAAGAAGCAACCUAAACUGAAGAAAAAUGAAGGCUGAAGAAGAGCUGAGGUGUUUGAGGCAGAGCAGUCUGAAGUUGGAGCGAUCUGUAGAGGAUGUCCUCAAACUCGCAAACCGGGUGGGAGAAGUUCGUAAUCAGCCAACACUUCCUUGUCCAGUCCCCUCAGGAAUGAGCCAUGUUGUUCCUUCUCACCCCGAGCCGGGAACCUCUGCAUACAGCACCAACCGCUCCUCCCGCCUGCCCAAACCCAACCACCCCAGUAGCCUCCCGAACUCUGCUAUCUCCCUCAGCCCACCAAUGUGGCAGCCGAUCACCAGUCCGAGCCCAGGGAGUGCUUCUGAACCCCAGCAGUGUCAGCUCCAGCCCCAGAGCUCGCUCCAGUGUCAGCUCCAGGCCUGUACUUUUUUUAUUUUUUUUUAUCUAUAGAGAUCCAGCCAUAGAGGCUGAGGCGGGGGUUGAGCCAUGUAGUCUCCAGAUCUACUGUGACCUUAGUCCUCCCUCCUGGAAGGCUCGUCCCGAGCUGUAACACCGUGGAGGAGGGGGUUGAGCGCCCUUGAGGUUGGUGCAGGGCAGGAACAGGGUGGCUUUGAGGAGGACUUCCAGGAUGCCCACCCCCCUCCUCCCUGGUGUUACAGCUUGGGACGAGCGUUCCAGGAAGGAGAAGUCAGUCAUGGACUUCUAUUCCCCAGUUUCUUUGGAGUUUUCCUUAUUUGGUGAUGUUCCUUUUCUGGUUUUGUUAAUUACUCCCCACCUGUUUCUGUUCUUCUGAUUACUUUGUUUAUAAACCCAGUCUGUUUCAUUCUAGUUUGUCGGUUCUUAAUGUAUGAUUGUGUUAAAGUAAAAUUAUAUGUUCGUUCUU
Long non-coding RNA from Carassius auratus (goldfish), 1001 nucleotides. RefSeq lists it as uncharacterized. The transcript is spliced from 3 exons. The record is from RefSeq and is a predicted model, not a curated record. Lineage: Eukaryota; Metazoa; Chordata; Actinopteri; Cypriniformes; Cyprinidae.